GGCAAUUGUCUAGUCGGCGAAGGUAUUACUAAAACAACAGCUUCGUAAGAGACUGAAAUGGUUUUGCCAUGUUAAUACCCUUAAGAGGCCCAUCUGCUCUGUGAUCAUGAUCGUAAAUUCCAUCCACUGGUUCCGCAAAGGCUUGGGUCUCCAAGACAACCCUGUACUGCUGGAGGCAGUGCGAGGGGAAGACAGGCGAUGUGUCUUUCCUGGACCCCUGGUUGGCUGGGUCAUCUAACCUGGGCGUGAACAGGUGGACGUGAGUGGAACUGAGAGCAGUAGAGUUCCCACAGCAGGCAGACAUCUCAAAUCCAGCAGUGUACUUGGAAAAACUGCUUCAGGAGCUUCAUGAAAUGAUUCCAAGAGCAAUGGUACACAAGCCUAAGCUAAAUAUGCACAGUACCACAAUGUCAGAUGGACUCUGGAGCACUGGAAAGAUGACUCACACUUCACUUGCUGAUGGACAACUCUGGGUUUGGCAGAUAGAAGGAGACUUUAAAGUAAAGUUUGGUGGGGGAUGGAUAAGUCAGUCUGUAUUUCAGGGUUUGGGCUAGGUCUCUUGGUUCCAGUGAAAGGUUAUGUUAAUGCUACAGCAUUCAAAGCAUUAACAUUGGCAACAGUUUAGGGGAAGGCCAAGUCCUCAUCCACUAUGAAUGAAUGUAAUUUGAUGAGUUUGUUUGGAGGAACAUCGUCUGACUUCCCAAAUGCGCUUGACUGAAUGGGCUCAAGUUCGCACAGACACACUGCAAAAUUUUGUAGGAAGCAUGGAGGCUGUUAUACUUGCAAAUACAGGGCAACUCCAUAUUAAUGCCCAUGUUGUGUAAUGGGAUGUCGAACAAGAAAUACAUGUGUGGUGAUCAGGUGUCCACUUACUCUUGGGUAUGUAGUGUCUCACUAGAAAUCCUUAUCUGUCCCUCACAGGCCUCCGUACUUUGUCAAAUGUCUCUUGUCACCAUGGCCACCAGUUUGUAGUGCCACAGUAGCCAGAGAGUGGAAAAAGGUGAUUUCCCUGCUGCUUACUCUGGGUGCCACUUCACUACCUUGCCUGUGCUGCUUCUCAUGGCUUUGAUAUUUCAUUGUUUUCAUAAUUUGUGCUUGUACAUAUAGCUCACCUCAUUUAGCUGAGAGGCUCUGGGAAGAGGAAGCAGGAGGCAGAGCAUAACUGGUGUCAUGGUUCUGUUCUAAACGUUUAACGUUACAGUGUAGAGGUCAGUAUGAGGUCAAAAGGCAAAGUGCUGAGAGUUUAAAGCAUGCCAUGGUUCAUAAUCACAAAUUAUAAGAAAUUAGUUCAGUGAAUGAUUUUAAACUGAUCUAAUCUAAAACACAUGUUUAGUCAUUAUUACUGAAUAUUCUCUUUAGACCCUGGUUUGUUUUUUAAGGAAAGCUGAGGGUCAGUGGAGUGGCAGGGCUUUCUCUUUGCGAGCUCUGACCCUCACUGAUGGAUAGCUAUGGAUUCCUGUAUUAUGCAUGUUACACACCAUUUUUGUACUAAACUUGUAAAUACCUUGCUCAUCAAAUUGGUUGCAUGCAUAAGUACUGUAGUAUUGUCAUUACAAAAUCUCAGGUACCACUAAAUCAGUUUGGUAUUUUAGCAUCAGUUGACUAUUGCCCUUCAGUGAUCACUCAUCUGUAUUCACAUUUCAUACAUUCUGAAGUCCAAAUGGAGGUCAGUUUCAGACAGUUCCCCUCUUGAGUGCUGUUAGCUUCUCAGCUCUUCCAUCAGCAGUGCCCUGUUUUACAUUCACAACACGAAGCUCAACUGUGGAAACGAGCUAUGACCAGCACCCACCAGCUAUGACUAGUCUCCCAGACCCCACCCACUAGCCCUGGGUUUACUCAAUGACUCCAUCAGUCCUGCACCUCUCCUCCUCAGACUCCACCCAUAAGCCUUGCAGCUCUACAGACCCCUCCAGGAAACUUCUUUUCUCCUCAGAACUUGCUUUGUAUUUUUAAAACAUCCUGCUCAACUGUGUGUGGUAUAUUGGCUGGCUGUGGUUUUUAUUUUUCUAGUUUGUAGCAUUCCUAAAAAAAGAAUUGGAGCUGUGAUGUCUUACCAGAAAAUAAAAACAAGUCAACAAAUGGCUGUCUGUCUUUAGCUUGUAUGUGUCUGUUUUAA
Electrophorus electricus (electric eel) is the source of this 2116-nucleotide long non-coding RNA. RefSeq lists it as uncharacterized. NCBI's taxonomy places the organism in Eukaryota, Metazoa, Chordata, Actinopteri, Gymnotiformes, Gymnotidae. The record is from RefSeq and is a predicted model, not a curated record.